This 151-nucleotide non-coding RNA is filed under the name Kaistia sp. RNAcentral's name for it is "FMN sequence". It matches the Rfam family "FMN riboswitch aptamer (RFN element)". From Rfam's summary of the family: The RFN element is a highly conserved domain that is found frequently in the 5'-untranslated regions of prokaryotic mRNAs that encode for flavin mononucleotide (FMN) biosynthesis and transport proteins. This element is a metabolite-dependent riboswitch that directly binds FMN in the absence of proteins. Lineage: Bacteria; Pseudomonadati; Pseudomonadota; Alphaproteobacteria; Hyphomicrobiales; Kaistiaceae. The record is from RNAcentral.
UCUCGUUCUCAGGGCGGGGUGAAAUUCCCCACCGGCGGUAAGAAGGUUCUCCUUCAAGCCCGCGAGCGCCCUUCCGUUCCAGCGGAAGGGGUCAGCAGAUUCGGUGUGAAUCCGAAGCCGACGGUCAUAGUCCGGAUGGAAGAGAACGGCG